RNAcentral lists this ribosomal RNA (891 nucleotides) under uncultured bacterium. RNAcentral describes it as "bacterial SSU rRNA". It matches the Rfam family "Bacterial small subunit ribosomal RNA", at positions 8 to 917 of the family's 1533-position model. The record is from RNAcentral.
AGAGUUUGAUCCUGGCUCAGGACGAACGCUGGCGGCGUGCCUAACACAUGCAAGUCGAGCGAUGAAGUCCCUUCGGGGGCGGAUUAGCGGCGGACGGGUGAGUAACACGUGGGUAACCUGCCUCAAAGAGGGGGAUAGCCUCCCGAAAGGGAGAUUAAUACCGCAUAACAUUAGUUUUUCGCAUGAAGAACUAAUUAAAGGAGUAAUCCGCUUUGAGAUGGACCCGCGGCGCAUUAGCUAGUUGGUGAGGUAAUGGCUCACCAAGGCGACGAUGCGUAGCCGACCUGAGAGGGUGAUCGGCCACAUUGGAACUGAGAUACGGUCCAGACUCCUACGGGAGGCAGCAGUGGGGAAUAUUGCACAAUGGGCGAAAGCCUGAUGCAGCAACGCCGCGUGAGUGAUGAAGGCCUUAGGGUUGUAAAGCUCUGUCUUUGGGGACGAUAAUGACGGUACCCAAGGAGGAAGCCACGGCUAACUACGUGCCAGCAGCCGCGGUAAUACGUAGGUGGCAAGCGUUGUCCGGAUUUACUGGGCGUAAAGGAUGCGUAGGCGGAUAUUUAAGUGAGAUGUGAAAUUCCCGGGCUUAACUUGGGAGCUGCAUUUCAAACUGGAUAUCUAGAGUGUGGGAGAGGAGAAUGGAAUUCCUAGUGUAGCGGUGAAAUGCGUAGAGAUUAGGAAGAACACCAGUGGCGAAGGCGAUUCUCUGGACCAUAACUGACGCUGAGGCAUGAAAGCGUGGGUAGCAAACAGGAUUAGAUACCCUGGUAGUCCACGCCGUAAACGAUGAGUACUAGGUGUAGGGGGGUCCAACCCUCUGUGCCGCAGUUAACACAAUAAGUACUCCGCCUGGGAAGUACGAUCGCAAGAUUAAAACUCAAAGGAAUUGACGGA